GUGGUUGUAGUUCAGUUGGUUAGAACGCCUGAUUGUGGUUCAGGAGGUCGCCGGUUCGAGUCCGGUCUUCCACC
Molecule: transfer RNA, 74 nt
Filed under: Flammeovirgaceae bacterium
Lineage: Bacteria; Pseudomonadati; Bacteroidota; Cytophagia; Cytophagales; Flammeovirgaceae
Also listed under: 1 other name
Description: tRNA-His
Rfam family: tRNA
About the family: Transfer RNA (tRNA) molecules are approximately 80 nucleotides in length. Their secondary structure includes four short double-helical elements and three loops (D, anti-codon, and T loops).
Source: RNAcentral